UACGUAGGGUGCGAGCGUUAAUCGGAAUUACUGGGCGUAAAGCGUGCGCAGGCGGUUUUGUAGGACAGGUGUGAAAUCCCCGGGCUUAACCUGGGAACUGCGCUUGUGACUGCAAGACUCGAGUACGGCAGAGGGGGGUGGAAUUCCACGUGUAGCAGUGAAAUGCGUAGAGAUGUGGAGGAACACCGAUGGCGAAGGCAGCCCCCUGGGUCGAUACUGACGCUCAUGCACGAAAGCGUGGGGAGCAAACAGG
RNAcentral lists this ribosomal RNA (253 nucleotides) under uncultured bacterium. Its description in RNAcentral is "partial 16S ribosomal RNA". It matches the Rfam family "Bacterial small subunit ribosomal RNA", at positions 524 to 776 of the family's 1533-position model. The record is from RNAcentral.